GCUGGCUGUGGUGACGCGUACCUGUAAUCCCAGCAUCUUGGGAGGCUGAGGCAGGAGGAUCCCAAGUUUAGAGCCAGCCUCAGCAACUUAGGCCCUAAAUAACUUAAUGAGACCCUAUCUCAA
This 123-nucleotide small RNA is filed under the name Marmota monax (woodchuck). The record is from RNAcentral. Lineage: Eukaryota; Metazoa; Chordata; Mammalia; Rodentia; Sciuridae.